This 660-nucleotide ribosomal RNA is filed under the name Proteus mirabilis. RNAcentral's name for it is "bacterial SSU rRNA". It matches the Rfam family "Bacterial small subunit ribosomal RNA", at positions 874 to 1533 of the family's 1533-position model. The record is from RNAcentral. Lineage: Bacteria; Pseudomonadati; Pseudomonadota; Gammaproteobacteria; Enterobacterales; Morganellaceae.
UGGGGAGUACGGCCGCAAGGUUAAAACUCAAAUGAAUUGACGGGGGCCCGCACAAGCGGUGGAGCAUGUGGUUUAAUUCGAUGCAACGCGAAGAACCUUACCUACUCUUGACAUCCAGCGAAUCCUUUAGAGAUAGAGGAGUGCCUUCGGGAACGCUGAGACAGGUGCUGCAUGGCUGUCGUCAGCUCGUGUUGUGAAAUGUUGGGUUAAGUCCCGCAACGAGCGCAACCCUUAUCCUUUGUUGCCAGCACGUAAUGGUGGGAACUCAAAGGAGACUGCCGGUGAUAAACCGGAGGAAGGUGGGGAUGACGUCAAGUCAUCAUGGCCCUUACGAGUAGGGCUACACACGUGCUACAAUGGCAGAUACAAAGAGAAGCGACCUCGCGAGAGCAAGCGGAACUCAUAAAGUCUGUCGUAGUCCGGAUUGGAGUCUGCAACUCGACUCCAUGAAGUCGGAAUCGCUAGUAAUCGUAGAUCAGAAUGCUACGGUGAAUACGUUCCCGGGCCUUGUACACACCGCCCGUCACACCAUGGGAGUGGGUUGCAAAAGAAGUAGGUAGCUUAACCUUCGGGAGGGCGCUUACCACUUUGUGAUUCAUGACUGGGGUGAAGUCGUAACAAGGUAACCGUAGGGGAACCUGCGGUUGGAUCACCUCCUUA